This 552-nucleotide long non-coding RNA is filed under the name Gossypium barbadense (sea-island cotton). RNAcentral describes it as "long non-coding RNA (GBAR_LNC017898)". The record is from RNAcentral. Lineage: Eukaryota; Viridiplantae; Streptophyta; Magnoliopsida; Malvales; Malvaceae.
CAAGAUUGCAUAUUAUAUCUAAGAUUACAUAUCAUAUCUAAGAUUGCAUAUCCUUGAAGAUUAUGUUUCAAUAUGCAUCAAGUUUGUAGAUAGACCUUCAACCUUUUCAAGUAAUGGGCCAUCCCGAUCGGGCCAAAUUAUAUAAUUUUAGACUUUGUUUUAUUAUUUUGGGUUUAUUAUUUUUUUAUAAGUUCAGGCUAAAUUGGCCUAUUACAUAUCAUACACAAACAUUUAACCAUAUAUUAAUAAUUAAACUUUCCAAGAAUUUUCAAAGCAAUCAAUAUCAAAUAACAAUCUAGGAGGAUUGAGAAACACCAUUUCUUACUUUAUUGAAGCUCUCUCUUUAGCUUCAAUUUUAUCUCUUAAGACUCAACCAAACCUUUGCUGAAAGUGGAGAGAUUUAAGGUGGAAAUGAGUUUUGGAGAUGAGUUUCUUAGUGAUUUUGACAAAAACUCAAGAUUUGAGCAGUGGGUUUUAAAGCGAUUUCAAGAAAAAGCAAGAAAAUUAAAGAGAAGAAGACAGACUCCAUGGGAUGGGGGGUGGUCAUGCAAC